RNAcentral lists this small RNA (368 nucleotides) under Pan troglodytes (chimpanzee). RNAcentral's name for it is "processed transcript". The record is from RNAcentral. Lineage: Eukaryota; Metazoa; Chordata; Mammalia; Primates; Hominidae.
AGAACUGAGACCACUGCGCCCGGCCUGCUUAUCAGUUUAGAUUGGUCCUCUCCAUGGACCCUCUCCUCCUUCCAGACACUCUGGGCUCAGUCACCGAAGGGAGCAGCAGCAAGAAGAAUAUUUACCAGCAAGUACUGAAUCAACAUGUGCUACCAGCCAGCACUGACAUGUAUCUUUGUUGACUGCUUAAGGUAUUAUUAUCUCCAUUUUACAGAUAAGGAAACUGAGGUGGGUACAGGAAUCUGUCUAGAGUCAUAAACCUAGUGAGUAGCAGACCAGAAUUAGAACGCUCCGGAAUUAGAGUAUCUUGAUUCCAGAGUGGUAUGUAUAUGUGUAUGUGAAUAUAUGUAUAUGAAUGUGCAAUCAUA